CAAAAAACACUGACUUAGAGUUUGGGAAUUAAUACUUAUUUUUUAAUUAACUUUUUUCUAAUUCUGACUUGGGGGGCAGGUUGCACACGCGCAGACUCCCCCGGAGGACCGUCAGCUGUUGAGUGCUCGCCCCUCGCAAUCGCAUGCGGAUUGGAAGUGUUUGUUUUGAUGUUGGUUUAGUGCAUUAAAACCAAUUCAAUUAAUUAACAAUAUUUGGGGAAUCAUUCGUAUUUAAUGCUGAAAUUAUUUCAUACCAUCGACUUCAACAUUGUGGGGUUCAAUGCAGUGCCUGUGUCAAUGUACAAUUGGAGGGUUUGGGAGAAAAAAAUACCCUGGAAGGCCAUCAACAAAGUCAAUGGGGAUGAGAUGAGCCAACAGACAUAAAGUUCUCUCUUCUGGAUAAUCCUAAGUCAUUCAGGAGUAGGCGGAAUUGAUGAACAUCACCCAAAUACCAGUGCAAACCAUAAUUUGGGAUGAUGGACCUGAUUGUUGUUGAAUCAGUAUCUCAUGUUCAGGAUGAGGAGAGUCCAUUGAAAGCACCCAGGGAAUGGGAAUCUGGAAGAUUGAGCCAGGGGCCAUUUCAGGCAGGCGAAGAAAAAUGAUUUAUCUUGGCCUGCACUUCUGAAUAUAAGGAAUGGGAAUCCAAUUGGACGAGAAUCCUUUGAACUUGUGAUGAAUACUACAGAGGAUAUAAUUUCGUCAAGUGUCAGGAAAUCGUAUUUAAUGGAUAUAUUUGCAAAAGGACUUCAAACCAGGGAAGCAAGCCCCCUGAGAGUAGCAGACGAUGCUACUCAAUAAAAUCGAAUAUUUUGGAGUUCGUUGCAAUCCGUAUCACCCUCUGGAACACUUUUAUUCCAAGUAAUCGUUGGACAAGCGUACAUUGGAAUCCUUCUGGAAUAAAUACUGGGUUAACACUAUGAGUUCAUCGAGUCACCCUACAAACGCUGGCAACAUCACUGGGCAAAUCUUCGGUUUCAAUUCUGCAAUAAAGAAAGAUGAUUUUUCUGUAUAAUUUUCAAUAAAAGUAAUUUUGAAAAAUA
This is a long non-coding RNA of Diachasma alloeum, 1040 nucleotides long. RefSeq lists it as uncharacterized. The transcript is spliced from 2 exons. NCBI's taxonomy places the organism in Eukaryota, Metazoa, Arthropoda, Insecta, Hymenoptera, Braconidae. The record is from RefSeq and is a predicted model, not a curated record.